RNAcentral lists this ribosomal RNA (253 nucleotides) under uncultured bacterium. RNAcentral's name for it is "partial 16S ribosomal RNA". It matches the Rfam family "Bacterial small subunit ribosomal RNA", at positions 524 to 776 of the family's 1533-position model. The record is from RNAcentral.
UACGUAGGGGACAAGCGUUGUCCGGAUUUAUUGGGCGUAAAGAGCGUGUAGGCGGCCAAACAGGUCAGCUGUGAAAACUCGAGGCUCAACCUCGAGACGUCGGUUGAAACCGUUUGGCUAGAGUCCGGAAGAGGAGAGUGGAAUUCCCGGUGUAGCGGUGAAAUGCGCAGAUAUCGGGAAGAACACCCGUGGCGAAGGCGGCUCUCUGGGACGGUACUGACGCUGAGACGCGAAAGCGUGGGGAGCGAACAGG